AAAAUUGGAGUUCGUAUGCGAAAGUUAUGGCUGUUUUACGAACGGACUCUGAAUUAGAGGACAAAACGGUCCGGAAGUGGGAAAAAAUUGCGGUGGUGGCUAGAAAUUGAUGGAAAUAGUGGGAAAAACACAUUAACUGGACUGUAACAAGACCUAACCAGUAACAAGACCUCGACCGGGACACAAAGUCAACACUACAGACUCUGAAACUGAAAUAUGCAAAGGCUAUGGUGCGGAUGGGUUGUAGGACAUGAAAACAAUAUGGCACUAGACUUAUGGGACGAACACACGGACACUUCAAACUAAGGGUAGAUGUAUAACGGUAUGUCUGAAGCUUUGAUUACCACUUGAGGAGAACAAGUGUGGCCCGAUCUUCCGAAAGUUUCUGGUAACUAUCGAUUUGGUGGAAACGAGAGACAUAUCAAUCCAACUUGCGAACAACACAAUUCGAAAUCCUGCAAUUCUUUUUAUUUUUUUUUAUAUUUUUGUUUUACUAAGGAGCACUCAAGAAGUAACCACAGGAAAUUUGAGCUUAAACAAGUGAAAGACAUGGCCUGUGCAAUUUUUUGAAGAUUGUGAAAAAUAUGAAAAAAACAUUAGGAGGUGAAAACUCAAACUUCAGAGGUG
Molecule: long non-coding RNA, 627 nt
Filed under: Sorghum bicolor (sorghum)
Lineage: Eukaryota; Viridiplantae; Streptophyta; Magnoliopsida; Poales; Poaceae
Description: long non-coding RNA (SBIC_LNC010566)
Source: RNAcentral